ACGGAGGGUGCGAGCGUUAAUCGGAAUUACUGGGCGUAAAGCGCAUGCAGGCGGUUCAUUAAGUCAGAUGUGAAAGCCCGGGGCUCAACCUCGGAACUGCAUUUGAAACUGGUGGACUAGAGUACUGCAGAGGGGGGUAGAAUUCCAGGUGUAGCAGUGAAAUGCGUAGAGAUCUGGAGGAACACCGAUGGCGAAGGCAGCCCCCUGGGCAGAUACUGACGCUCAGGUACGAAAGCGUGGGGAGCAAACAG
Molecule: ribosomal RNA, 251 nt
Filed under: uncultured prokaryote
Description: partial 16S ribosomal RNA
Rfam family: Bacterial small subunit ribosomal RNA
Source: RNAcentral